This 468-nucleotide ribosomal RNA is filed under the name uncultured bacterium. Its description in RNAcentral is "partial 16S ribosomal RNA". It matches the Rfam family "Bacterial small subunit ribosomal RNA", at positions 28 to 507 of the family's 1533-position model. The record is from RNAcentral.
GACGAACGCUGGCGGCGUGCUUAACACAUGCAAGUCGAACGGAAAGGCCCUGCUUUUGUGGGGUGCUCGAGUGGCGAACGGGUGAGUAACACUUGAGUAACCUGCCCUUGACUUUGGGAUAACUUCAGGAAACUGGGGCUAAUACCGGGUAGGAGCUCCUGCUGCAUGGUGGGGGUUGGAAAGUUUCGGCGGUUGGGGAUGGACUCGCGGCUUAUCAGCUUGUUGGUGGGGUAGUGGCUUACCAAGGCUUUGACGGGUAGCCGGCCUGCGAGGGUGACCGGCCACAUUGGGACUGAGAUACGGCCCAGACUCCUACGGGAGGCAGCAGUGGGGAAGAUUGCACAAUGGGCGGAAGCCUGAUGCAGCAACGCCGCGUGCGGGGUGACGGCCUUCGGGUUGUAAACCGCUUUCGCCUGUGACGAAGCGUGAGUGACGGUAAUGGGUAAAGAAGCACCGGCUAACUACGUG